UGGGGGAUAUUGCACAAUGGGCGAAAGCCUGAUGCAGCGACGCCGCGUGGGGGAUGAAGGCUUUCGGGUUGUAAACCUCUUUCGCUAUCGAACAAGGCCCGCUUAGGGUGGGUUGAGGGUAGGUGGAGAAGAAGCGCCGGCUAACUACGUGCCAGCAGCCGCGGUAAUACGUAGGGCGCGAGCGUUGUCCGGAAUUAUUGGGCGUAAAGGGCUUGUAGGCGGCUUGUUGCGCCUGCUGUGAAAACGCGGGGCUUAACUUCGCGCGUGCAGUGGGUACGGGCAGGCUUGAGUGUGGUAGGGGUGACUGGAAUUCCAGGUGUAGCGGUGGAAUGCGCAGAUAUCUGGAGGAAUACCGAUGGCGAAGGCAGGUCACUGGGCCAUUACUGACGCUGAGGAGCGAAAGCAUGGGUAGCGAACAGG
RNAcentral lists this ribosomal RNA (420 nucleotides) under bacterium. Its description in RNAcentral is "partial 16S ribosomal RNA". It matches the Rfam family "Bacterial small subunit ribosomal RNA", at positions 355 to 776 of the family's 1533-position model. The record is from RNAcentral.